GCUGGAAAAUUAAUUAUGUAUAUUUCUACUUUUUUCCUAGAUUAAGGCCCAUGUAAUGUGCGGGGAUGACCAGAAUCUCAGUACCAUGUGACUAACCCCCCCCCUUCCCCUCCUCUCCUCAGUGUCCUUUUGUCCUUGCUUUCCCCCCCCCCUCUCAGCGUCACUGUGUUGACCACUUCUAUAACAAAAUUUACCCCGUGAAUAAACGUAAUUUCUCUUGCUUGGCCAGGUUAUAGAGGCGAAUUUUUCACCUAAUCCCAGAGAAUGGGGAGCCCUUAAUACGAUAAAAUUAAUUUUAUAAUGGUAAGGUCUUAAACCAGCUCAAACAAAUCCCAGAUAAUUACGCCGCGCCAAUGAGGUUGACGAAUCUGAUAAGUCUUCUUUGCUUCGCCGUCCUGUUACCCCUGUUGCUACGCAAGCCGAGAAGAGAUACCAGACUUUGACUAAUUCCCCAAUUGAUUUCAAAAGUCCAUUGAAUUAAACUUCUUAAAGUAACAACUAUAAAGUAAACAGUAACUUAAUUAUUCAUAUUUUUCAUCCCUGAACUCACAACCUAGUCGCCCCCCCCCACUAAAAACAAAAUUAUAACUCUUAAUAAAUUUCCCCAUUGGAAACCUUUAUCCUUAGUUUCCCGCUGAUUUCCUCACAAGCAAAGCCAGUCUCUCUCGGAUUCUCCUCAGACCCUCUCGGAUUCUCCUCAGAUAUUCCUGUUGAUAAACUGUUUCUGAGUGGAUAGAUAUUCGCAUUUUUUUUGUUCUUUUUUUUUGUUGGUUUUCUCCACGGGACUAGUGAAACCACCUGGUUCGAGAUCACCGUGUGAGACUGUCCUCAGGUCUAUACAUACUUUUUGGGUAUAUAUUUGUUAUUUAUUUAUUUAUUCUCUGGUCUCCCCCGCAAUUCAGUAGUCGCGAAAAUAUCUCCAUCGUAGUUUUUAUGUAAUUGAAGAAUACGCUAUCAUUUAUUUUGUAUUUCUGAAUUAUGUAACUGAAGAGUACGCUACCAUUUAUUUUGUAUUUCUGAAUUCCUUUCUUUUUAUUAUUAUUAUUUCGGAUUAUUCCAUUAUUUAUUAAAAAUCAUAAAAGUGUCA
This is a long non-coding RNA of Scylla paramamosain (green mud crab), 1087 nucleotides long. RefSeq lists it as uncharacterized. The record is from RefSeq and is a predicted model, not a curated record. The transcript is spliced from 2 exons. Lineage: Eukaryota; Metazoa; Arthropoda; Malacostraca; Decapoda; Portunidae.